This 490-nucleotide ribosomal RNA is filed under the name uncultured bacterium. Its description in RNAcentral is "partial 16S ribosomal RNA". It matches the Rfam family "Bacterial small subunit ribosomal RNA", at positions 30 to 507 of the family's 1533-position model. The record is from RNAcentral.
AUUGAACGCUGGCGGCAGGCCUAACACAUGCAAGUCGAACGGUAACAGGAAGCAGCUUGCUGCUUUGCUGACGAGUGGCGGACGGGUGAGUAAUGUCUGGGAAACUGCCCGAUGGAGGGGGAUAACUACUGGAAACGGUAGCUAAUACCGCAUAACGUCGCAAGACCAAAGAGGGGGACCUUAGGGCCUCUUGCCAUCGGAUGUGCCCAGAUGGGAUUAGCUAGUAGGUGGGGUAACGGCUCACCUAGGCGACGAUCCCUAGCUGGUCUGAGAGGAUGACCAGGCAAACUGGAACUGAGGACCGGUCCCGACUCCUAAGGGGGGCAACAGUGGGGAAUAUUUGACAAUUGGCGCCAGCCUUAUGCAACCCUGCCGGGUGUAUGGAGAAGGCCUUCGGGUUGUAAAAUACUUUCCACGGGGAGGAAGGGAGUAAAGGUAAUACCUUUGCUCAUUGACGUUACCCGCAGAAGAAGCACCGGCUAACUCCGUG